This 429-nucleotide ribosomal RNA is filed under the name Pseudomonadota bacterium. RNAcentral's name for it is "Proteobacteria bacterium partial 16S ribosomal RNA". It matches the Rfam family "Bacterial small subunit ribosomal RNA", at positions 355 to 776 of the family's 1533-position model. The record is from RNAcentral. Lineage: Bacteria; Pseudomonadati; Pseudomonadota.
UGGGGAAUAUUGGACAAUGGGCGAAAGCCUGAUCCAGCCAUGCCGCGUGUGUGAAGAAGGUCUUCGGAUUGUAAAGCACUUUAAGUUGGGAGGAAGGGCAGUAAGCGAAUACCUUGCUGUUUUGACGUUACCGACAGAAUAAGCACCGGCUAACUCUGUGCCAGCAGCCGCGGUAAUACAGAGGGUGCAAGCGUUAAUCGGAAUUACUGGGCGUAAAGCGCGCGUAGGUGGUUCGUUAAGUUGAAUGUGAAAGCCCCGGGCUCAACCUGGGAAAUGCAUCCAAAACUGGCGAGCUAGAGUAGGGCAGAGGGUGGUGGAAUUUCCUGUGUGGCGGUGAAAUGCGUAGAUAUAGGAAGGAACACCAGUGGCGAAGGCGACCACCUGGGCUCAUACUGACACUGAGGUGCGAAAGCGUGGGGAGCAAACAGG